UAGGGAAUCAUCCGCAAUGGACGAAAGUCUGACGGUGCAACGCCGCGUGAGUGAUGAAGGUUUUCGGAUCGUAAAGCUCUGUUGUGAGGGAAGAACAAGGGCGGUUCUAACAGGGCCGCCCCCUGACGGUACCUCACCAGAAAGCCCCGGCUAACUACGUGCCAGCAGCCGCGGUAAUACGUAGGGGGCAAGCGUUGUCCGGAAUUAUUGGGCGUAAAGCGCGCGCAGGCGGUUCUUUAAGUCUGAUGUGAAAGCCCACGGCUCAACCGUGGAGGGUCAUUGGAAACUGGAGAACUGGAAUGCAGAAGAGGAGAGUGGAAUUCCACGUGUAGCGGUGAAAUGCGUAGAUAUGUGGAGGAACACCAGUGGCGAAGGCGGCUCUCUGGUCUGUUAUUGACGCUGAGGCGCGAAAGCGUGGGGAGCAAACAGG
This 430-nucleotide ribosomal RNA is filed under the name uncultured Sinobaca sp. Its description in RNAcentral is "bacterial SSU rRNA". It matches the Rfam family "Bacterial small subunit ribosomal RNA", at positions 355 to 776 of the family's 1533-position model. The record is from RNAcentral. Lineage: Bacteria; Bacillati; Bacillota; Bacilli; Caryophanales; Sporolactobacillaceae.